Molecule: non-coding RNA, 556 nt
Organism: Ciona intestinalis (vase tunicate)
Lineage: Eukaryota; Metazoa; Chordata; Ascidiacea; Phlebobranchia; Cionidae
Source: RefSeq, a predicted model, not a curated record
CGACAUCUUCGAAGUCACUACGUGCACGUUUUCCUCAUCAUGCUGAUUUGAAUCUAAAGGAAAAAUUGAAAUGAAUCAUCCGGCAAAAGUCUGAGCAUCGACAGCAGAGUGUCCAAAGUGAGGUGCAGACGCUAAAAGCCAAAACAUCAUUAUCUAAUUAUAAAGUUUGUGCAAAGGAUUAGUGUCCCAUCAACCCCCCACAUAAGGAGCUGCUUCUUAACCUACCGCUGCGUGGAAUAUGAGAUGCAAGGGUAACUGUAACCUCUAUACUGAUUGAUUGUAUAAUUACUGAUGAGUUGCAUUGAUACUACAAUUCGGGCAUUUGGUGUAUGCUUUUCUGUUAAUUAUUGGAUAUUUAUAUGUUUUAUUCCUUAAAAAAAGCAGAUUUGGGGUCAAUACAUAGGGUUUCACAUUUUCUAUGCAUUUUUAUACAAAAGGAUUAUUUUUACAUUUUGCGUUGAAAAAAAAAACAGUUUUUAUUUUCUUGUAAACUAAAUCUGUAUUAUUACCUCGUAUUUUAAAGUAAAAACCUAAAUGGUCCCAAUUGUAAGCAAAA